AAUACCGCAUACGUCCUACGGGGGAAAGCAGGGGAUCUUCGGACCUUGCGCUAAUAGAUGAGCCUAAGUCGGAUUAGCUAGUUGGUGGGGUAAAGGCCUACCAAGGCGACGAUCUGUAGCGGGUCUGAGAGGAUGAUCCGCCACACUGGGACUGAGACACGGCCCAGACUCCUACGGGAGGCAGCAGUGGGGAAUAUUGGACAAUGGGCGCAAGCCUGAUCCAGCCAUGCCGCGUGUGUGAAGAAGGCCUUUUGGUUGUAAAGCACUUUAAGCGAGGAGGAGGCUCCUUUAGUUAAUACCUAAAGUGAGUGGACGUUACUCGCAGAAUAAGCACCGGCUAACUCUGUGCCAGCAGCCGCGGUAAUACAGAGGGUGCGAGCGUUAAUCGGAUUUACUGGGCGUAAAGCGUGCGUAGGCGGCUUUUUAAGUCGGAUGUGAAAUCCCUGAGCUUAACUUAGGAAUUGCAUUCGAUACUGGAGAGCUAGAGUAUGGGAGAGGAUGGUAGAAUUCCAGGUGUAGCGGUGAAAUGCGUAGAGAUCUGGAGGAAUACCGAUGGCGAAGGCAGCCAUCUGGCCUAAUACUGACGCUGAGGUACGAAAGCAUGGGGAGCAAACAGGAUUAGAUACCCUGGUAGUCCAUGCCGUAAACGAUGUCUACUAGCCGUUGGGGCCUUUGAGGCUUUAGUGGCGCAGCUAACGCGAUAAGUAGACCGCCUGGGGAGUACGGUCGCAAGACUAAAACUCAAAUGAAUUGACGGGGGCCCGCACAAGCGGUGGAGCAUGUGGUUUAAUUCGAUGCAACGCGAAGAACCUUACCUGGCCUUGACAUACUAAGAACUUUCCAGAGAUGGAUUGGUGCCUUCGGGAACUUAGAUACAGGUGCUGCAUGGCUGUCGUCAGCUCGUGUCGUGAGAUGUUGGGUUAAGUCCCGCAACGAGCGCAACCCUUUUCCUUAUUUGCCAGCGGGUUAAGCCGGGAACUUUAAGGAUACUGCCAGUGACAAACUGGAGGAAGGCGGGGACGACGUCAAGUCAUCAUGGCCCUUACGGCCAGGGCUACACACGUGCUACAAUGGUCGGUACAAAGGGUUGCUACCUCGCGAGAGGAUGCUAAUCUCAAAAAGCCGAUCGUAGUCCGGAUCGCAGUCUGCAACUCGACUGCGUGAAGUCGGAAUCGCUAGUAAUCGCGGAUCAGAAUGCCGCGGUGAAUACGUUCCCGGGCCUUAAUCGCGGAUCAGAAUGCCGCGGUGAAUACGUUCCCGGGCCU
Molecule: ribosomal RNA, 1265 nt
Filed under: Acinetobacter sp.
Lineage: Bacteria; Pseudomonadati; Pseudomonadota; Gammaproteobacteria; Moraxellales; Moraxellaceae
Description: bacterial SSU rRNA
Rfam family: Bacterial small subunit ribosomal RNA
Source: RNAcentral